CAGUAGCCACGGGAAUACGUAGGUGGCAAGCGUUGUCCGGAAUUAUUGGGCGUAAAGGGCUCGCAGGCGGUUUCUUAAGUCUGAUGUGAAAGCCCCCGGCUCAACCGGGGAGGGUCAUUGGAAACUGGGAAACUUGAGUGCAGAAGAGGAGAGUGGAAUUCCACGUGUAGCGGUGAAAUGCGUAGAGAUGUGGAGGAACACCAGUGGCGAAGGCGACUCUCUGGUCUGUAACUGACGCUGAGGAGCGAAAGCGUGGGGAGCGAACAGGAUUAGAGACCCCAGUAGUCCCUGUCUCUAUACC
This 301-nucleotide ribosomal RNA is filed under the name uncultured bacterium. Its description in RNAcentral is "partial 16S ribosomal RNA". It matches the Rfam family "Bacterial small subunit ribosomal RNA", at positions 509 to 808 of the family's 1533-position model. The record is from RNAcentral.